Molecule: ribosomal RNA, 200 nt
Filed under: uncultured organism
Description: partial small subunit ribosomal RNA
Rfam family: Bacterial small subunit ribosomal RNA
Source: RNAcentral
GUCAAGUCCUCAUGGCCCUUAUGGCCAGGGCUACACACGUGCUACAAUGGCCGGUACAAACCGUUGCCAACCCGCGAGGGGGAGCUAAUCGGAAAAAGCCGGUCGUAGUCCGGAUUGGAGUCUGCAACUCGACUCCAUGAAGUCGGAAUCGCUAGUAAUCGUGGAUCAGCAUUGCCACGGUGAAUACGUUCCCGGGCCUU